This 440-nucleotide ribosomal RNA is filed under the name uncultured bacterium. RNAcentral's name for it is "partial 16S ribosomal RNA". It matches the Rfam family "Bacterial small subunit ribosomal RNA", at positions 338 to 795 of the family's 1533-position model. The record is from RNAcentral.
CCUACGGGUGGCAGCAGUGGGGGAUAUUGCACAAUGGGGGGAACCCUGAUGCAGCGACGCCGCGUGAGCGAAGAAGUACCUCGGUAUGUAAAGCUCUAUCAGCAGGGAAGAAAAUGACGGUACCUGACUAAGAAGCCCCGGCUAAAUACGUGCCAGCAGCCGCGGUAUUCCGUAUGGGGCAAGCGUUAUCCGGAUGUACUGGGUGUAAAGGGAGCGCGAGCGGCCUGCCAAGUCUGGUGUGAAAACCCGGGGGCCAACCCCUGGCCUGCAUUUGAAACUGGCGGGCUGGAGUGUCGGAGGGGCAGGCGGAAUUCCUAGUGUAGCGGUGAAAUGCGUAGAUAUUAGGAGGAACACCGGUGGCGAAGGCGGCUUACUGGACCGUAACUGACGUUGAGGCUCGAAAGCGUGGGGAGCAAACAGGAUUAGAUACCCGAGUAGUC